GGGCCGUUGGAGCAAGCUGGCAGCUCACCUGGUACUCAGCCAGGCGGUUACGGGUUCGAGCCCCGUACGGCCUA
Molecule: transfer RNA, 74 nt
Filed under: Micromonospora sp. KC721
Lineage: Bacteria; Bacillati; Actinomycetota; Actinomycetes; Micromonosporales; Micromonosporaceae
Description: tRNA-Glu
Source: RNAcentral